GCCAACACUAGCCCAAAAAAACCAAAAACAUUACUACCAAAUUGAUAUGUAAAUAUAUUAAAUCAUUUACACACAUAAAAGUAUAGGUGAUAGAAAUUUAUUUUCGGCGCCAUAGAGACAGUACCGUAAGGGAAAGAGUGAAAAAAAAAAUUAAGCACAAAACAGCAGGGAUUCACCCCUAUACCUUUUGCAUAAUGAACUAGUCAGAGACUAUUUCGCAAAGAGAACUAAAGCCAAAACCCCCGAAACCAGACGAGCUACCCAAAAACAGCUAAAAGAGCGCACCCAUCUAUGUAGCAAAAUAGUGGGAAGAUUUCUGGGUAGAGGUGACAAGCCUACCGAGCCUGGUGAUAGCUGGUUAUCCAAGAUAGAAUCUUAGUUCAACCUUAAGUUUACCUACAGAACCACCAAUCCCCAUGUAAACUUAAUUGUUAUUCUAAAGAGGGACAGCUCUUUAGAUACUAGGAAAAAACCUUACGUAGAGAGUAAAAAGCCUAGCCCCCAUAGUUGGCCCAAAAGCAGCCAUCAAUUAAGAAAGCGUUCAAGCUCAACAUCAGCUAACUAAAAAAUCCCAAACAUACAACUGAACUCCUCACAUUACAUUGGAUUAAUCUAUUUAACUAUAGAAGCAAUAAUGCUAGUAUCAGUAACAUGAAUAUAUUCUCCUAUGCAUAAGCCUAAGUCAGACCGAAAAAUUUCACUGACACUUAACAGCCUAGUACUAAUAAACACAAACAAGCCAGUACUACCUAUACUGUUAACCCAACACAGGCAUGCUCCAAAGGAAAGGUUAAAAGAAGUAAAAGGAACUCGGCAAACCUAACCCCGCCUGUUUACCAAAAACAUCACCUCUAGCAUUAAUAAUAUUAGAGGCACUGCCUGCCCAGUGACACAUGUUCAACGGCCGCGGUACCCUGACCGUGCAAAGGUAGCAUAAUCACUUGUUCCUUAAAUAGGGACUCGCAUGAACGGCAACACGAGGGUUCAACUGUCUCUUACUUUCAACCAGUGAAAUUGACCUGCCCGUGAAGAGGCGGGCAUAACAUAAUAAGACGAGAAGACCCUAUGGAGCUUUAAUUUACUAAUGCAACCAAAACCUCACAAAAAUCCACGGACUUAACCCACUACUAGACCUGCAUUAUUAAUUUUGGUUGGGGUGACCUCGGAGCAUAAUUAAACCUCCGAAUAGUCCAGACCAAGACUACACUAGUCGAAGCUAACCAAUAUCUACAAUUGAUCCAAUAAAUUGAUCAACGGAAAAAGUUACCCUAGGGAUAACAGCGCAAUCCUAUUCCAGAGUUCAUAUCGACAAUAGGGUUUACGACCUCGAUGUUGGAUCAGGACAUCCUAAUGGUGCAGCAGCUAUCAAGGGUUCGUUUGUUCAACGAUUAAAGUCCUACGUGAUCUGAGUUCAGACCGGAGCAAUCCAGGUCGGUUUCUAUCUAUUCUAUAUUUCUCCCUGUACGAAAGGACAAGAGAAAUAGGGCCCACUUCACAAAGUGCCCUCCUUCCAUAAAUGACUUAAUCUCAAUUUAACAAAAAGCUACAUAUAUGCCCCAAGAGCAGGGCUU
Molecule: ribosomal RNA, 1571 nt
Filed under: Colobus guereza (mantled guereza)
Lineage: Eukaryota; Metazoa; Chordata; Mammalia; Primates; Cercopithecidae
Description: 16S ribosomal RNA
Rfam family: Bacterial large subunit ribosomal RNA
Source: RNAcentral